GGGGAUGUAGCUUAGUUGGCAGAGCGCUUGCCUCACAAGCUUGAAGGCCUGGAUUCUGUCUCCAGCACCA
RNAcentral lists this transfer RNA (70 nucleotides) under Mus musculus (house mouse). It matches the Rfam family "tRNA". Rfam says of the family: Transfer RNA (tRNA) molecules are approximately 80 nucleotides in length. The record is from Rfam by way of RNAcentral. Lineage: Eukaryota; Metazoa; Chordata; Mammalia; Rodentia; Muridae.